This 827-nucleotide ribosomal RNA is filed under the name uncultured bacterium. RNAcentral describes it as "bacterial SSU rRNA". It matches the Rfam family "Bacterial small subunit ribosomal RNA", at positions 8 to 836 of the family's 1533-position model. The record is from RNAcentral.
AGAGUUUGAUCAUGGCUCAGAUUGAACGCUGGCGGCAUGCCUAACACAUGCAAGUCGAACGCGAAAGCGCCUUCGGGCGUGAGUAGAGUGGCGGACGGGUGAGUAACGCGUGGGAAUCUGCCCUGUAGUGGGGGACAACCCGGGGAAACUCGGGCUAAUACCGCAUACGUCCUACGGGAGAAAGGGGGCCUUCGGGCUCUCGCUACAGGAUGAGCCCGCGUCCGAUUAGCUAGUUGGUGGGGUAAAGGCCCACCAAGGCGACGAUCGGUAGCUGGUCUGAGAGGAUGAUCAGCCACACUGGGACUGAGACACGGCCCAGACUUCUACGGGAGGCAGCAGUGGGGAAUAUUGGACAAUGGGCGAAAGCCUGAUCCAGCAAUGCCGCGUGUGUGAAGAAGGCCUGCGGGUUGUAAAGCACUUUCAGUAGGGAAGAAAUGCUGAGGGUUAAUACCCCUUGGUCUUGACGUUACCUACAGGAGAAGCACCGGCUAACUCCGUGCCAGCAGCCGCGGUAAUACGGAGGGUGCAAGCGUUAAUCGGAAUCACUGGGCGUAAAGCGCACGUAGGCGGCUAGGUAAGUCAGAUGUGAAAGCCCCGGGCUCAACCUGGGAACUGCAUUUGAUACUGCUUGGCUUGAGUCUAGUACAGGGGGGUGGAAUUCCACGUGUAGCGGUGAAAUGCGUAGAUAUCUGUAGGAACACCUGAGGCGACGGCUGGCCCCUGCACUAAGACUGACUCUGAGGUGCGAAAGCGUGCGCAGUAAACAGACUAGAUAACCCUGCUAGUCAAUGCCGUAACGAUGACCACUAGCCGUUGGAUUCUUUUAA